UUGUUGGAUUAAUUUGAUUACACGCUUUAGGUCUUAUUUUUUUCUUUCCACUGAUUUAGCGUUAGGUUAAGUGUUUUCACACUUUCGCUUCAGUCUGACAUUUGCUUGGUGUGUGAGGGCACAGAGACGUGUAUGGACCGUGUGUUUGACUGUGUUUGUUUUGUUUGUUUGUUUAUUUAUCUAUAUGGGCAUGGCCGAGCCUUGAGAAACAUCAACAAAGCCAUUGGACUAUUCUGAGUAAAUUGACCAAUUCAAAUUCAGGAUCCUGAAACAAUUUGGCUAUAACCUCUAACUGAUGAAGGACAUCUUAAGAAUUCAUUGUACAAGGCUUCCUCUCCAGUGUUGCCAGAACUGUUAUAAAACCCAUGCAUGGUUGUAUAUUUUAGUUUGAUCAUUUAUACUCAUUGAAUUAUUGUUGUUUGCUUUAUGUUUUAAUUUCUUUGUAAUUUUUUCUCUGUGACACAGGUGGAGAUGCUGGUGGCAAAGUGGAUCCCACUCAUUUCUUUCUCCCACACACAUUCUUACUCUCUCCCUCUCUCUCUGUGUAUGUGCAUGUGUAUGUGUUUGUGUGUCCGUGUGUGUUCAUGUCGUGAUGUCACUGUACCUUUAAUUGCGCUUGCUGUUUGUAACUGUAUGUGUCUGAUGUUGAAGGUAUCAGAGGCUAGGGUCAGUAAGAGCUAGGACAUUUUUGUGCAUAACCUUUAAUCCCUAGGCGAUCGGUUCGGGGAACUUCUGGUCCGGCCGGAGUGUGAAUCUUCCUACCAACUAUCUGCCAAGAUCAAUUGGACUGCACAAGCCGAGAAAGCCUUCAUUGGACCAAAACCACACAUGAAGAUACUUCGCCUUCGGUGCCAGGCGUCGUCUGGGUCCUGCUGAAGGUCACCAAAAGAAAGUGGACGGAACCAAGGUGGACCGGGCCAUACAGGAUCACAGAGAGGACGUCACACGCUGUCCGGCUGGACGGGAGGAGCCUAACCUGGAAGAGAAGCAGCCGACAUCUGCCUGACCAGAAAAAGUACCCAAGGACCAGGACGAGAAGCAGCCGACAUCUGCCUAACCAGAGAAAGGAUCCAAAAACCAGGAAGAGAAGUAGCUGACUACAGUAGCAUGCCAAGCUGCCACCACAUCCUGCAGGACGAGAAUCUUGACAUCAUCACCCCCUGCAGCUGCCUGGAGCCAGUGAAAGGACCUCAACAGGGGGAAGAAGUAACCACCCUACGAACAUUCUACAAGGGUUCUAUUUAACACCCUCAUUUAUUUUAGAAGGGUUAUAUUUAACACCCUCCAUUUAUUUUAUCUGGGUUCUAUUUUACACCCUCAUUUAUUUUACAAGGGUUAUAUUUUAUACCCACUACUCAUUUUAUAUUAUUAUUCAUUUACCUGUUUAGUAUUAGAUAUAUGUUUACACUCAUUGCAUUUCCAAACUCAAUUCUGAAUGUACAGAUUGAUCACCAUUGCCAUCUCUCCUCCACCUGCUGACCCAAUUAUCCAGAUGCCCUUGUUACUAGCCAAUCCUAACAUCUAUUUGGGAGGGGAACCCUCUGAUGAUAGUGAUGACUCUCAUGAUGAAGAAGAUGAUGUUAGAGUGUGAGAAUGUUCAGUGAUUUAUGUAACAAUCCCUUCACCUGUUCAUUUCUAUGAGUUUUUUGAUUGUGUUGUUUUUAUUUUUUUGAUCAUUGAUGUCCUAGGCAUGCCCACUCUGUGCCAAAAGGUGUUCGCCCCAAAAUGGGGGGACAUGGGGGAAUUUUCCCUAUUAACGUACGACAAUUAGGGUUUUUCGCCCUCAUACGGUGAGCAUGCGAUCCAUUCAUGUUGUAACAUGUUCAGUUAAAAAUAUGAUCAUGUUUUUUGUAUUACUUUACUGCUGGAAAUAUGAGAAGCUGUAAUCUGAUUGAUUGUUUGUAUUUGUAUUUUAAAACUUUGCUUAUUGGAUUCUUUUUGAUGGAAUUUGGUGUUAUUGUUUUGAUUUCUUAUAUCUUUAUUGAACUCUUAAAAGAGUUCAAAAGGGGGAUUGAAAAUAUAUGUAACUCUCAUAUAAGCUCUUUUAUUAUUCAUUGUUAUAUGAUACUUUUUUCAUUAUGGAAUCAUGUUAUAAUAUCAAAGGCCUCUCUGUGCUUCUCUCCUGCAUGAGCUCUAAACAGCUGCAGGAACUCCAAAAGGGAGUGAAAGUGUUCCUUCCUUCAGUUCCUCAAUACAAGAACAACUGUCUUUGUUAGCAAAGGAUGUUGCAGGAUGUGUCCUGGUCAUCUCAAGGUUGCAUGUCCUUGGGAUGAAUUGGUCUUUCAUUAACAAGGCUAUUAGCUGACGUGCGUCUACAGGUGCAGAUGGCAGAAUUGCGUGUGUGUAUGGCAAACUGCGUAUGUUACAUUCCUGUGCUUUUCAAUAAAAAUCAGCCGUUUCAGCAGAACGGCGAGAGUCUGUCCGAAGCAACUGACGGGAGCAGGUCGCGGGACCUGCUGUAUGUUGCAAAGGCUCUCCCCCUCAUGAGCGGUGAAAACAGUGA
Molecule: non-coding RNA, 2503 nt
Organism: Nothobranchius furzeri (turquoise killifish)
Lineage: Eukaryota; Metazoa; Chordata; Actinopteri; Cyprinodontiformes; Nothobranchiidae
Source: RefSeq, a predicted model, not a curated record